Molecule: ribosomal RNA, 253 nt
Filed under: uncultured Rubrobacter sp.
Lineage: Bacteria; Bacillati; Actinomycetota; Rubrobacteria; Rubrobacterales; Rubrobacteraceae
Description: partial 16S ribosomal RNA
Rfam family: Bacterial small subunit ribosomal RNA
Source: RNAcentral
UACGUAGGGGGCGAGCGUUGUCCGGAAUUAUUGGGCGUAAAGAGCGUGUAGGCGGUUCGGUAAGUCUGCCGUGAAAACCUGGGGCUCAACCCCGGGCGUGCGGUGGAAACUGCCGGGCUAGAGGGUGGUAGAGGCGAGUGGAAUUCCCGGUGUAGCGGUGAAAUGCGCAGAUAUCGGGAGGAACACCAGUAGCGAAGGCGGCUCGCUGGGCCAUUCCUGACGCUGAGACGCGAAAGCUAGGGGAGCGAACAGG